Non-coding RNA from Caenorhabditis elegans, 114 nucleotides. The record is from Ensembl. Lineage: Eukaryota; Metazoa; Nematoda; Chromadorea; Rhabditida; Rhabditidae.
GACGACGACAUUUUCAGACUUGUUUCUUUCGGAAAGAUAAGCUACAGAAGCCAUUUGAUGCUCUAUGUUCAUUGAAGCGACACCACCUGUGGCGUCUUCUCCAAUGAUGCUGAU